Triticum aestivum (bread wheat) is the source of this 125-nucleotide non-coding RNA. Lineage: Eukaryota; Viridiplantae; Streptophyta; Magnoliopsida; Poales; Poaceae. The record is from Rfam.
AUUGUACUCCCUCCGUCUGGAAUUACUUGUCGCAAAAAUGGAUAAAAACGGAUGUAUCUAAAAUUAAAAUACAUCUAGAUACAUCCAUUACUUUGAUAAGUAUUUUCAGACGGAGGGAGUACUCC